AACGCGAAAGGCCCCUUCGGGGGCCGAGUAGAGUGGCGCACGGGUGAGUAACACGUAGGUAAUCUACCUCUGGGUGGGGAAUAACGACCGGAAAUGGUCGCUAAUACCGCAUAAUGCAGCGGCACCACAUGGUGACAGUUGUUAAAGCGGGGGAUCGUAAGACCUCGCGCCUAGAGAUGAGCCUGCGGCGGAUUAGCUAGUUGGCAGGGUAACGGCCUACCAAGGCAACGAUCCGUAGCCGGCCUGAGAGGGCGGACGGCCACACUGGCACUGACAUACGGGCCAGACUCCUACGGGAGGCAGCAGUCGGGAAUUUUGGGCAAUGGGCGAAAGCCUGACCCAGCAACGCCGCGUGAAGGAUGAAGCUUUUCGGAGUGUAAACUUCAUAAGAAUGGGACGAAUAAGGAGGGGUUAACACCCCCUUUGAUGACGGUACCAUUUGUAAGCUCCGGCUAACUCCGUGCCAGCAGCCGCGGUAAUACGGGGGGAGCAAGCGUUGUUCGGAUUUACUGGGCGUAAAGGGCGCGUAGGCGGCGCAACAAGUCACUUGUGAAAUCUCCGGGCUUAACCCGGAGCGGCCAAGUGAUACUGUCGUGCUAGAGUGCGGAAGGGGCUACUGGAAUUCUCGGUGUAGCGGUGAAAUGCGUAGAUAUCGAGAGGAACACCUGCGGCGAAGGCGGGUAGCUGGGCCGACACUGACGCUGAGGCGCGAAAGCCAGGGGAGCGAACGGGAUUAGAUACCCCGGUAGUCCUAGCCUUAAACGAUGAAUGCU
This 773-nucleotide ribosomal RNA is filed under the name uncultured bacterium. RNAcentral's name for it is "bacterial SSU rRNA". It matches the Rfam family "Bacterial small subunit ribosomal RNA", at positions 65 to 817 of the family's 1533-position model. The record is from RNAcentral.